CAGCCGCCGCGGGAAUACGAAGGGGGCUAGCGUUGUUCGGAUUUACUGGGCGUAAAGCGCACGUAGGCGGACUUUUAAGUCAGGGGUGAAAUCCCGGGGCUCAACCCCGGAACUGCCUUUGAUACUGGAAGUCUUGAGUAUGGUAGAGGUGAGUGGAAUUCCGAGUGUAGAGGUGAAAUUCGUAGAUAUUCGGAGGAACACCAGUGGCGAAGGCGGCUCACUGGACCAUUACUGACGCUGAGGUGCGAAAGCGUGGGGAGCAAACAGGAUUAGAUACCCCUGUAGUCCCUGUCUCUUAUAA
Molecule: ribosomal RNA, 301 nt
Filed under: uncultured bacterium
Lineage: Bacteria
Description: partial 16S ribosomal RNA
Rfam family: Bacterial small subunit ribosomal RNA
Source: RNAcentral